GCAAAUUCUUCGCGCUAUCUGACGAACAGCGAUAGCUGUCGGGUGCACCUGGGGCAAAGUUUUAUUUCGUUAUUGUUUGAGAGUGGUGAGGUGUGCUUUGUGGUCGGUGAAGUUGGUGGUGAGGGUUCGUGUGUGUACUUGCCCUAGCACGCACCGUGUAAAGACGUAGGUCGAUGGUGGAGCUGUGCCGAGUUGUGGACAUUUGAAUGUUGGACGUGGGGUAGAAGUCUAAGUCCUUUAUAGUGGUCACGAAAGUAGUUUUGUGGGCGUCUAGGUUAAAGUCUCCCAUGAGUAAGAUUGGUUUCCAGUCCGACUCGAAGGUAGAGUGGAUCAACUGAGCAAAAUCAAUUUGAUUAGCGUGUGGUGAAACGUAGAUGCAUGCCAGGAGGAGUUCUCCUUGGGGGAUGUAUGCCGCGCUUAUAUCGGCGAUGUCGGACGUUGGUUGGUUGACGAGGGCAUACGGCUGUGCGGUGACGUUGGUAGCGCUGUUGCUAACGUAGAUUGCUGCUCCCGCAGCCCUCUUUGAUGGGUGUCUUGAUACAAUGUUCACGCAGGUGCACUCAAACGAAAAACGUGUUUUCUGGGUGUAAAGGGCACCACUUACACCCCACAGUUGAUCUGUAUUCCCGGUGGUGUCACAAAAUACCGCUGUAGAACCUUUUUUUUUUUUUUUCGAUGGGUUUGGGGUGUAUAUCCUGCCAACUACAACCGUGAGCGCGCAGUACGUGGGGAUGCGCAACACGCAAUCAUCCAGUUUGUUGAACAUGAAGGGAGUUGAUGUUCUGAGGCUGGAACACAUAGAAGGGACAAACACAUACAAAACCUCAGUUUGUGACGCGCGUGACAUUUGAGUGCAGUUGGCUAGCGUCCUCAGAUAGUUUGAAAGUUUAUUUUCACAUUGCGUGAUCAAUCGCGUAGUAAGCUUAUCGUGAGUGUUGCAGGUCAUGCGUGUUUCAGUCAAGGAAAGUUUGUGUGGCAGCAUCAGGGGUUGACAGCGUUCGUGUUGAUACUGGCCGCGGCAAAGCACAGAUAAGAUACUGACCAUAUCGCCAUAAUGGAGGCCGUCCGCCUUGUGACACCAGGACGGCCAGACAGAAAAUAAUCGUCCGUGGAGAAUGCAAACGUUACGAUGUUUUCGAGGCUGUAAGGCAGUCGCCUUUUUGGCGAUCUCGUAACCGACAGCCUCAUUGUGCAGGUGUUGAAACUCGUAUGUGGAAAAAGAAAAGCUGACCUGGAGCUUCUUCUUUUAGUUAACCUAGCGUGGGCUCGCUCACUUGUUCUGAUUAAAGCGAA
Ornithodoros turicata is the source of this 1293-nucleotide long non-coding RNA. RefSeq lists it as uncharacterized. The transcript has 3 exons. The record is from RefSeq and is a predicted model, not a curated record. NCBI's taxonomy places the organism in Eukaryota, Metazoa, Arthropoda, Arachnida, Ixodida, Argasidae.